ACGCGUUCGGUACGCGAAAGGUGCGCUUCACGUUAGGGUUGCGGGGCAGGAGGUACUGCAUGUCCGAGCUGUUCGACGCGGUCGACGCGCUC
This 92-nucleotide transfer RNA is filed under the name Streptomyces naganishii JCM 4654. Its description in RNAcentral is "tRNA-Pro". Lineage: Bacteria; Bacillati; Actinomycetota; Actinomycetes; Kitasatosporales; Streptomycetaceae. The record is from RNAcentral.